AGACGUCUACAUUAGAUACCCCCGUAGUCCCAGCCGUAAACUAUGCGCGUUAGGUGUAUCGGUGACCACGAGUUACCGAGGUGCCGAAGGGAAACCGUGAAACGUGCCGCCUGGGAAGUACGGUCGCAAGGCUGAAACUUAAAGGAAUUGGCGGGGAGCACCACAACGGGUGGAGCCUGCGGUUUAAUUGGACUCAACGCCGGGAAGCUCACCGGAUAGGACAGCAGAAUGAUUGCCGGGCUGAAGACUCUGCAUGACUAGCUG
This 264-nucleotide ribosomal RNA is filed under the name uncultured archaeon. RNAcentral describes it as "partial 16S ribosomal RNA". It matches the Rfam family "Archaeal small subunit ribosomal RNA", at positions 714 to 982 of the family's 1478-position model. The record is from RNAcentral.